AUGAUUGCUAAGGGCUACUAUUUAGGUCGGGGAGAGUGGGCCAAGAAGGUGGCUUGGGAUAGAUUGGGAAGACCCUCAUGUGCCGUGCCAGUAAGGGGCGACUCUGUCUUUCAGUCUGAGUUAAUUCAGAAGUUUCCAUAUUAACUGAUUCCAGAAAACAAAAAGUAUACCAAAAACACUUUGGAUGAAACUGAGAGUUAUAUGCCUUUAAAAAAAAAAUGCUUCUUUUAGGAGUGUGAUGAACACUCAAAUCUCAGUUUACUAGAAUUUGGAUUAGGUCUUGCCGAUCCAGUGUGAAUAAGGAGUUGGGUUUUUUCCACUGCUCAGGCUCCCAUGGAGAGGAUGGAUGGCACGUCGGUGAGGUCAGUGUUUGGCAGCCAGCAUGUGUUUCAGUCCCGCUGCACCCGGGCUUAAGCCGACAGCGUGCCCGCCCUCAGCUGUGCGGCUACCAGCCUGCUCAUCCGCUAAGAGGGGGCACACGUGUUGAGCCCUGGAGCCAGCCCCA
This 505-nucleotide long non-coding RNA is filed under the name Bos taurus (domestic cattle). RNAcentral describes it as "long non-coding RNA NONBTAT004208". Lineage: Eukaryota; Metazoa; Chordata; Mammalia; Artiodactyla; Bovidae. The record is from RNAcentral.